AACGAACGCUGGCGGCAGGCCUAAUACAUGCAAGUCGAACGCACCGCAAGGUGAGUGGCAGACGGGUGAGUAACGCGUGGGAACCUUCCUAGUAGUACGGAAUAACUCCGGGAAACCGGUGCUAAUACCGUAUAAGCCCUCCGGGGGAAAGAUUUAUCGCUACUAGAUGGGCCCGCGUCGGAUUAGCUUGUUGGUGAGGUAAUGGCUCACCAAGGCUUCGAUCCGUAGCUGGUCUGAGAGGAUGAUCAGCCACACUGGGACUGAGACACGGCCCAGACUCCUACGGGAGGCAGCAGUAGGGAAUAUUGGACAAUGGGCGAAAGCCUGAUCCAGCCAUGCCGCGUGAGUGAAGAAGGCCUUAGGGUUGUAAAGCUUCUUUUGGCGGGGAAGAUAAUGACGGUACCCGCAAGAAUAAGCUCCGGCUAACUUCGUGCCA
Molecule: ribosomal RNA, 436 nt
Filed under: uncultured bacterium
Lineage: Bacteria
Description: bacterial SSU rRNA
Rfam family: Bacterial small subunit ribosomal RNA
Source: RNAcentral